Long non-coding RNA from Sinocyclocheilus rhinocerous, 1079 nucleotides. RefSeq lists it as uncharacterized. The transcript is spliced from 3 exons. Lineage: Eukaryota; Metazoa; Chordata; Actinopteri; Cypriniformes; Cyprinidae. The record is from RefSeq and is a predicted model, not a curated record.
UUUAAAGUCAGUUGUGUCGUUGAUCCACAAGGUGGCGCUGCUGCUGUUUGUAUGCCGUCGAGUCUAAUUAUUUACCAUUUAACAUCUGACUGAGGCGUAAAUGUAAAUUAAUCGAGUUCCUAUCACCGAUCUAGAUAUAAUUCUCUGUUAUAGAUCAGUGGAUCCUAUAUUUAAAAGGUUCAAAUAAAGCGGUUCUUAUUACGUUCAGCUUUUUGUGUCUCAAAACAGAAAUAAAAAGAAGAGACUGUGGGCAGAACUAACUCACAAACAGUAAAGCCAUUGGUUGGCAAUGUGAUUAAUAACAGACACCUGCCAGAGAUUAGAUUAGCAUUAGCAUUAGCAUAACAAACAAGAAACUGCACGAACACAUCAACACACAGAAGUCAUCUCUGAAUGCGGUCUUUUAUGACAGACGAAGAUGUUGUGAGUGAAACAUGAGCUGUGUUUGAGUUUCUUCUCUGUCUGGAGGAGAUCUCUGCUUCAGCUGCUGGAGGUCAGGAGAAGCAGGGAGCAACCGCUGACCCUCGUUGACCUCUGACCUCUUUCUGGACUCUGUGAAACGCACCGAUAGCCUUCGAGCUCUCGGACUCGUCUGAUUCUAGCAGCUCGGACCCGUUCUCUGGGGAAAUGUGUUGACGGGCCGUUUGUUUAAUCAAAUGCUUCCAUUAGAGAACGAUCCGUGCUGUUUGUGUGUAUAAAGUGUGUGCACAAUAAAAAGAUAAAUGUGACGUUUGUGUGCUGUUCAUGAUUUCCAGAGAUCAUCUGAUCGCAGGUCUCCAAACAUUUGCUGUUAGUUCUAAUCAGUAGUUUAAUGUUGUCAAGUAAGGUUUGUGUGCGUCUGACUGUUUGAGAUUUCUCUCUGGAUGAGCUGUGGCUGAUCUGUAGUUUAAAGUUAAAACAGUCCAGUUUAUUUGUCCUUAACAGAAGCGCAUGUCUUCAAAUAAAUGACAUUUGAUCAGUAAAGUUUGUAUCUGAACGGCUGUAAUGUGAUGCAGUUGUGUUGUUAAUCGUUGAGCUGUCUGUGAUUCCGGCACGGACCAAAGAGUCUGGAGCUGAUGUUCAUUUCUGUGAGAAACAAC